This 467-nucleotide ribosomal RNA is filed under the name uncultured bacterium. RNAcentral's name for it is "partial 16S ribosomal RNA". It matches the Rfam family "Bacterial small subunit ribosomal RNA", at positions 28 to 507 of the family's 1533-position model. The record is from RNAcentral.
GAUGAACGCUGGCGGCGUGCUUAACACAUGCAAGUCGAACGGAAAGGCCCAAGCUUGCUUGGGUACUCGAGUGGCGAACGGGUGAGUAACACGUGGGUGAUCUGCCCUGCACUUCGGGAUAAGCCUGGGAAACUGGGUCUAAUACCGGAUAGGACCACAUUUUGGAUGGUGUGGUGGAAAGUUUUUCGGUGUGGGAUGAGCUCGCGGCCUAUCAGCUUGUUGGUGGGGUAAUGGCCUACCAAGGCGUCGACGGGUAGCCGGCCUGAGAGGGUGUACGGCCACAUUGGAACUGAGAUACGGCCCAGACUCCUGCGGGAGGCAGCAAUGGGGAAUAUUGCACCAUGGGCGCAAGCCUGAUGCAGCGACGCCGCGUGGUGGAUGACGGCCUUCGGGUUGUAAACUCCUUUCGCUAGGGACGAAGCGUUUUUGUGACGGUACCUGGAGAAGAGGCACCGGCUAACUACGUG